RNAcentral lists this long non-coding RNA (5743 nucleotides) under Citrus sinensis (sweet orange). Its description in RNAcentral is "long non-coding RNA (CSIN_LNC004386)". Lineage: Eukaryota; Viridiplantae; Streptophyta; Magnoliopsida; Sapindales; Rutaceae. The record is from RNAcentral.
GGAUAUCUUUCAUUUUAAUAUUAAAUUUUUAAUAAUUUUUAAUAUAAAUAGAAAAGAAAGGAAGGAAAUAAUAAUGCGCACAGCCGGCCCUAAUUUUGCAAUUCGCAUUCCUCUUCUCAAAUCUCACAUCCGCCGGCCGCCAACCAUAUUUCCUUUUCUCUUCAUCAAAUCAAGUCGUCGUCGUCAUCACUUCGGCCAUUUUCUCUUCUCUGUGUUCAUUAUCAUCAUCAGUUGCUGUGUUCCUCUUCUCUGCACUGCUGCGACCACCAUUCCUUCUCAAUCGCUCAACUGUUGCAAAAUCGCCUGGAUUAGCUUCCACCUCUAAGCCCGCCUGUGCUUCUCGUUUGUCAUAUUCCAUGGUGGGGGCUGUCUUUGAUGGCAUUGCAUGGUGGAUUUGGGUGGGCCACGGUCUUUGAUGCCAUUACAAUUCAAAAUUAAUUGUAAUUUUCGUGCAUCCACUUCCUAUAUUAGGUUAUUAAUUUAUUGAAUUUUGUUGGUAGUAUUUGCAACGCCUUCAUAUUAAGAUCUAUCCUGUGUACCUGCCUGAAUUUCACGGAAAAAAAGGUUAAUCGGUUUUAAUUUGUGAUUGAAUUGUAGUUUCCAAUUUUUUUUUUCAUUUUUUAAUCAUAAUUCAAAAGACAAUCCGGGUUUCAAACCCGGAAUUCGGGACCCUUAAUUUUUCCGGGUUGAACCCGGACCGGACCCGCAUGUAAAAAAUCCGGAUUAUAUGUGGGUCCGGUAAAAAGAAAAUGACAUCCGGGUCCGGAACCAAGAAGACCGAACCCAGAACCGGACCCGGAUUUUGCCAUCCUACAUAUGGCUUCUUUUGUUUUUUGUUUUUUGUUUUUUUUAUUUGUUGGCUGCAUAUGGUGGGCUCCACCAUAUGCAGCCACUCGUGGCCUUUGGAUUUAAAUCCAAAUGCCACUAGCCUUUAUCCCGGAAACUGUUCCAAUCCGAGAGUCAGAUUGGAACAGUUCCCAUAUAUAUAAUUGUUGUUGCUUUCUGCUUUAUGCGGCCUUCAAAUGUGGAUGCCCACAAAAAACAAGGAUGCAUUUGGAAUUAUUUUUCAAUUUUUGUUUUCAUAAAAUAAAAAUGAAAAUGAAAUACUACUUUUAUAUUUAUUUUUAAAAUUUAAAAAUACGUUCGAUAUCAUUUUCAAAAAUAAUAUUAAAAACAAGAAAAAAGUAAAAUAUAUUUUGUAGGAAUAUUUUAAAGUAUUAUUAUUGGAAUAAUUUCCAUUAGCUAAAUAUUAAUUAAGUAGUAUUUAAUUAUUUUUAUUACUUAAAUAGUUUGAUUAUUUUAAUUUUAAGAAUAAAUUAGGUGAUGUUCACACACACACACACAUCAUAGAUUUUCUUUACUCAUGUCUAAUUAAAGAUUUCUAAUGACGCAUUAUACAAAGAGAUAAGUUUUUUUAAUUUUUUUUUGACAAAGUAAUCAAGAUUUUAUUCCAUCAACAUAAGAAAGUACAAAUAAUUUGAAAUAUUAAAUUUGAUUUUGACUUCCUCUCACCAAUUCAAUCUAAUUAUUAACAGCAAAGUAGACCGGCCUGUUUCUCAAAUUUGAUUUUCAUUAAAACAUCAGUGAUCAAUGUACAAUUAAAAUAAUGAUUCAUUAUUAGCAAAGAUUGAGUAAAUUAAUUAAUGUUUAUGUUAAAUGAAAAUCAAUCAUUUUAUUGAUAAACAAAGAUGGUGACUCGCUACAAUCAAUUACUUUUGUCCUACUUAUUUAAGACAAUCUGACGAUCAAAAUCGCAGGCAAGAAAAAGCUCAGGCCAAUUAAAGAAGUGAUAAUAGCAAGGCCUAAAGAAGGGGCUAACAUUGCAUAUGUGCCCGUAACAAAUGCAAUCACCAUUGCUGCCAUGGACCAUAAGGUGAACCAAAUGGAAGCGUGGAACAAAUCCUCAUUGAAAUCUUUAGUUUCUUCAGUUACAUAAGACAACCAGAAGUGAGUAACGACGGCAGAAAGAGAAAAGGCCAUGGCAAUGGAAUCUGCUACCAUAAAUAAUUGAAAAGCUUUAUUUCUCCUCAGGAUUGCAGUUCCAUUUUCGCUUCUAUAACCGCCAGGAAUGGUGAAAGCUGCUGCGAAGGCUACUGUUGCUAUGAGUGCAGCCACUACCAAAUGUGAUGCUCUUGUAUCCUUGUAAUUUUCUUUAUUAACAUACUUUUGCACUUCUCUUAUGAAUAUAACACCUUUUGAAUAUUGUCCUCUUCCAACUUCUUUGGAUAAUUUUUGGAUUUCUUCCUGUAAUUAAUUUACAUUUGAAUAUUAAUUAAUUGCGUAAAAAAAAUUAAAUUUAAUAAUUUAGUUGAAAGAACAAAUUAAAUAAUUACCUUGAGCUCAGGAUAGCCAUAAUUAAAAAUGUGUCUGACACUAACAUUUUGUUUGUUGACAGCGUCAUAGUUGGCUUGAGUACUCCUAUUCAUAACAUCAUGGAAUUCAGUUGGACGGACUGCAGCAAGCACAUGGAGAGGAGUGUUUCCCUCGGCAUCCCCCUCAUCUAUAAGACUCCUCGCUAACGGAUUAUUUUCAAGAAGAUUUCUUAGUUGUCCAACAUGAAAACUAACCAUAGCAUAAUGGAGAAAAUUCCAUUCCUUGUUAUCGACCAGCUCGUAACAUUCUGGAUUUUUAGAAAUAAUUGCUUCAACUAUUUUGGCAUGCCCUUGGCCCGCUGCCAAAUGAAGAGCUGUCAUCUUUCCAUCUUUGUCAGCAAUGUUCGAAGCGGAUUGAUCAGUUUCUAAUAACAAAUUUAUCGUCCUGUAAUUUCCAUGAUAUGCAACGUAAUGAAUUGGAGUCCACCCAUAUUGAUCUGUUUCUUUGAUCAGAUUCUUCUUUUUCUCAAGUAAUUUUCGUAAUGCAGUACCAACUGAGAAUACAGAAGAUAAAUAAAAUAAUAAUUAAAUUUUUUAAUAAAAGUAAAUAUCUAGAAAUGGCCUAAAUUUGGGGGCUAUUUAUGUUGGAGAUAUGAGAAAAAAAAUAGCUUUUUUAAAUUACAAAUCAGCCAGAAGUCUAGAACAACAAUGCCAACACCAAUCACACGAUGAGUGAUGAAUAAUGGCUUCAGAUCGGUAACUUUGUUAUUUAACAAAAUAAAAACUUGCAAUUAUUUCCCUGAUUUUGCAUCUAGAAAUAACAAUUUUUGCAAAAUUCACUAAGACACGUUUGAAGCACUAUUCUAAAGACCAAUUCGGUGAAUCUAAUUAUCCUAAAACCAACUUUCCCUAUCUUAGUUAUCCAAAAGACCAAUUUUCAGUACAUUUACAAUUCUAAAGACUAGUUUUUUUAGGAAGAUUUCACAGUAGAAAAAUUAACUCCUUCAUAACAACGCUUAAUUUCUUCAUAAAUUGAGAGUAUUUUUGUCAUUAUUCAGAAAAUUAUAUCUGACAAUUUAUCCUGAUUAAAUUGAUGGCAAUUAAUAAUUUAUUAAUGAAUUAAAAGGGUGUAUUUACUUGAACAUUAUGGAAAGAAUCUAUUAAUAGAAAGAUAUCAAUAUUGAAAUUCCUACUGAAAGGGUAUAACUAAACUUACCGAAAGGAAAUUCCAUUGCUGCAGCAUGUAAAGCCGUCUUUCUGUUGGGGCCUUCAUGAGACACUGAUGUGCUGUUUACAAAUAAGGCAAGCACCAUAUUAGAAGACCGAUAAUCAGCAGCCAUGUAGAGUGGCGUUUUGCCGUAAUUAUUUGCAGAAUAUUGAUAAUCAGGGUCUUCUUUCGUCAGUAAUUCCACCACAUCGACGUUUUGGUGACACACUGCCUCGUGGAGUGCUGUAUUCUUCUCAUUAUUUGUCAUCCUAAUCAUCUGCCUGGCAGCUCCUACCCUGCUCUCUAGCUCUUCAUUUUCAUGUUGAGGUAGUUUUGCUCUUUCCACAAGAACCCUCACUAUAUCAGAAUGGCCAAAUUUUGCCGCAACGUGAAGUGGAGUAUCGCCUUUGGCAUUAACUUGUAGUAGCAGCGAUGGGCAUUUCUCAAGUAUUUCUGCUACAAACUUCGUUGACACGUUUUCUCUUUCUUGGGAUAUGAUAUUGAUAUGCAGGAUUGUGUUUUUGGUCUUUGCUGUUAACAAUCUCUCAAUUACCUCUCUUGCCAUAUCUUUGAAGGGCUCCAAAUUUCCCGCAGCUGCGGCUUUGAACAAAUUUGGGUCUAUUUGCGACUGACUGAUCUCGCCAUUGUUGUCCAAUAAUGAAGCUUCCUCAAUCUCAUUGGAAACAGAAUUCAUGUCGGCGAAGUUGAUCUAUUAGAUAAGGGUACCCAGUAUCUCGGAGGUACUCAUAGAUCUUCCUCUAAACCUUACAUGUAUGUAUAUAUGACUUGAAAAGUGUAGUAUUUUUCACACGUCUUAAAUUCUUGCUUUUUUGACAGGGUAACGACACCGAAAAAAUACGGGUCGGGCCAAUCCGGAUGAGAGUGGAGGCUGUUCCGGGCCAAGCCAAAUUAAUAUGGCGAUUUGCUCAAAUCCAAUGAGAGGUAGCCAGGUGGAAGAAGUAGGUGUGGGAGCAUUAAAUGGAGAGAGAUUGCAGAAGAUCGACUGUAGCAAGAUAGCAGGUGAAACAGAGAUGAAGCAGAUGCAUAGGGAAGAGAGCAUUGUGGAUAGGGAUGGCAGAAUAAUCCGGACCCGGACGAAUCAGGAUAAUCCGGUCCGGGUUGAAUCCGUAUUGCAGUUAUAUAAAAUACGGAUCCAGAUUUAAUUUUAUGAACCCGGAUGAUAUCCGGUUCGGGUCAGGGUUUAGGUGAACCCGCAUAUCCGAAACCCGGACCCGGAUAUCUUUCAUUUUAAUAUUAAAUUUUUAAUAAUUUUUAAUAUAAAUAGAAAAGAAAGGAAGGAAAUAAUAAUGCGCACAGCCGGCCCUAAUUUUGCAAUUCGCAUUCCUCUUCUCAAAUCUCACAUCCGCCGGCCGCCAACCAUAUUUCCUUUUCUCUUCAUCAAAUCAAGUCGUCGUCGUCAUCACUUCGGCCAUUUUCUCUUCUCUGUGUUCAUUAUCAUCAUCAGUUGCUGUGUUCCUCUUCUCUGCACUGCUGCGACCACCAUUCAUUCUCAAUCGUUCAACUCUUGCAAAAUCGCCUGGAUUAGCUUCCACCUCUAAGCCCGCCUGUGCUUCUCGUUUGUCAUAUUCCAUGGUGGGGGCUGUCUUUGAUGGCAUUGCAUGGUGGAUUUGGGUGGGCCACGGUCUUUGAUGCCAUUACAAUUCAAAAUUAAUUGUAAUUUUCGUGCAUCCACUUCCUAUAUUAGGUUAUUAAUUUAUUGAAUUUUGUUGGUAGUAUUUGCAACGCCUUCAUAUUAAGAUCUAUCCUGUGUACCUGCCUGAAUUUCACGGAAAAAAAGGUUAAUCGGUUUUAAUUUGUGAUUGAAUUGUAGUUUCCAAUUUUUUUUUUCAUUUUUUAAUCAUAAUUCAAAAGACAAUCCGGGUUUCAAACCCGGAAUUCGGGACCCUUAAUUUUUCCGGGUUGAACCCGGACCGGACCCGCAUGUAAAAAAUCCGGGUUAUAUGCGGGUCCGGUAAAAAGAAAAUGACAUCCGGGUUCGGAACCGGGAAGGCCGAACCCGGAACCGGACCCGGAUUUUGCCAUCCCUAAUUGUGGAGGGAAAAAUGAAAGGAAAAAAGCGGGAAAACAAGUUGAUAGCAGCACAGGAUAUUAUGGGCUCAAUGGGCCGAGUAGAAAAUAUUGAAGAAAGAAACAAAGAGGGCCAACAACAGGGAAGUAUUAUCGGAAACGAAAAAGAGACAAACAGACAGUUAAAAGUAUCGAC